Molecule: ribosomal RNA, 424 nt
Filed under: uncultured bacterium
Lineage: Bacteria
Description: bacterial SSU rRNA
Rfam family: Bacterial small subunit ribosomal RNA
Source: RNAcentral
UGGGGAAUAUUGGACAAUGGGCGCAAGCCUGAUCCAGCCAUGCCGCGUGGGUGAUGAAGGCCCUAGGGUUGUAAAGCCCUUUCGGCGGGGAAGAUAAUGACGGUACCCGCAGAAGAAGCCCCGGCUAACUUCGUGCCAGCAGCCGCGGUAAUACGAAGGGGGCUAGCGUUGCUCGGAAUCACUGGGCGUAAAGCGCACGUAGGCGGCUUGUUAAGUCAGGGGUGAAAUCCUGGAGCUCAACUCCAGAACUGCCUUUGAUACUGACGAGCUUGAGUCCGGGAGAGGUGAGUGGAACUGCGAGUGUAGAGGUGAAAUUCGUAGAUAUUCGCAAGAACACCAGUGGCGAAGGCGGCUCACUGGCCCGGUACUGACGCUGAGGUGCGAAAGCGUGGGGAGCAAACAGGAUUAGAUACCCCCGUAGUCC